RNAcentral lists this ribosomal RNA (497 nucleotides) under uncultured bacterium. RNAcentral describes it as "partial 16S ribosomal RNA". It matches the Rfam family "Bacterial small subunit ribosomal RNA", at positions 28 to 507 of the family's 1533-position model. The record is from RNAcentral.
GAUGAACGCUGGCGGCGUGCCUAAUACAUGCAAGUCGAGCGAACAGACGAGGAGCUUGCUCCUCUGACGUUAGCGGCGGACGGGUGAGUAACACGUGGAUAACCUACCUAUAAGACUGGGAUAACUUCGGGAAACCGGAGCUAAUACCGGAUAAUAUAUUGAACCGCAUGGUUCAAUAGUGAAAGACGGUUUUGCUGUCACUUAUAGAUGGAUCCGCGCCGCAUUAGCUAGUUGGUAAGGUAACGGGUUACCAAGGCAACGAUGCGUAGCCGACCUGAGAGGGUGAUAGGCCACCCUGGAACUGGGACACGGUCCAGACUCCUACGGGAGGCAGCAGUAGGGAAUCUUCCGCAAUGGGCGAAAGCCUGACGGAGCAACGCCGCGUGAGUGAUGAAGGUCUUCGGAUCGUAAAACUCUGUUAUUAGGGAAGAACAAAUGUGUAAGUAACUAUGCACGUCUUGACGGUACCUAAUCAGAAAGCCACGGCUAACUACGUG